GAUCAUGGCUCAGGAUGAACGCUGGCGGCGUGCUUAACACAUGCAAGUCGAGCGAAGCACUUUGGGAAGAUUCUUCGGAUGAUUUCCUUUGUGACUGAGCGGCGGACGGGGUGAAGGUAACGCGUGGGUAACCUGCCUCAUACAGGGGGAUAACAGUUAGAAAUGACUGCUAAUACCGCAUAAGACCACGGUACCGCAUGGUACAGUGGUAAAAACUCCGGUGGUAUGAGAUGGACCCGCGU
RNAcentral lists this ribosomal RNA (242 nucleotides) under uncultured bacterium. RNAcentral's name for it is "partial 16S ribosomal RNA". It matches the Rfam family "Bacterial small subunit ribosomal RNA", at positions 15 to 236 of the family's 1533-position model. The record is from RNAcentral.